UCUUAUCCCGAGCUGGUGGAGGGACAGGCCCUAUGAAACCCAGCAACCUGCUUUAUGUGAAUUUUCAAUAAUAAUGAACCUUUUGUUUGCUUAUUGUAUAUGUUAAUUUAGUAAACAAAUCGUUAUUUUGAAGACGAUUUAGAGCAAAGGUGCUAACCUGAGGCAAGGAUUAAGUCCUUGAACGAUAAGA
RNAcentral lists this non-coding RNA (190 nucleotides) under Bacillus massilinigeriensis. Its description in RNAcentral is "SAM riboswitch (S box leader)". It matches the Rfam family "SAM riboswitch aptamer (S box leader)". Rfam says of the family: The SAM riboswitch is found upstream of a number of genes which code for proteins involved in methionine or cysteine biosynthesis in Gram-positive bacteria. The SAM riboswitch acts at the level of transcription termination control. The predicted structure consists of a complex stem-loop region followed by a single stem loop terminator region. The record is from RNAcentral. Lineage: Bacteria; Bacillati; Bacillota; Bacilli; Caryophanales; Bacillaceae.